GUGUAUAUUCUUUAUGUAAUAAUACUCAUUAUGCCAUAUAAGUUAAGUGCUGUUAGUUUUUUUGUUUUGUUUUGUUUUUUCCCCUUCAGUUGACAGAUAGGCUAAGAGAAUUGCCCAGGGUCAACCAACAAGUAGGAGAAAUGGAUUUGAGUACCAGCAGUAGCACACACCUGUAAUCUCAGUGGUUCAAGUGUCUGAGGCAGGAGGAUCCAAGUUCAAAGGUAGCCUCAGCAAGUUAGCAAGGUCCUGUCUCAAAAAUGAAGGGCUGGGAAUGUGGCUCAGUGGUUAAACGCCCCUGGGUUCAUUUCCUGGUUAAAAAAAAAAAAAAAAAAAUGAGCCAGGGAAUAUUGGGGAUGGGAAGUAUGUGUUUGUGCCAUCAGUUUUGAAGACCCUUGAAUGCCAGGCUAAGAAGUGUGAAUUUUUAUCAUCUAGGCCAGAGGUUUCCAAACUUUUUAAAUCAUGGUGCCUUCAGUAUCUCCAUGAUUUUUUACUUUUUUAUAUUAUUUAUUUUUUUUGUAGUACUAGGGAUUGAACUCAGCCUCACACAUGCUAGGCACAUACUGAGCUACAUCUUCAUACCCAAAUUUUGAGACAAGGUCUCGCUAAAUUGCCCAGAUUAGGCUCAAAUUUGUGAUUCUCCUGCCUCAGCCUUCUGAGUUCAUUGGGAUUGCACCACUUGUUGGAUAUACACCAAUCACUGUGCUUGGCUGAGUCUAUUCUCUUAUUCCUGCUAUCCUCCACCUUUAACAUCAAGGCCAGAUUCAUGUUUCUAAAAUACUCAUGGUAUUUGCCUGGUUAAGACAUGAGUAAAGCUUGUUGCUUAUAUCUGUGGUUCCCAGACCAUGAGCCAAGGCACCCUUGGAACAUGGCUGCAUAUUCACAGAAUGCCACGGGAUAUUCUAAUGUUAGGGUACUCACAGGGAUACUUGACAUGUUAGGCCCCUGUGAACUAUCAAAGUAGGUCAGUAACAACAUAAUAGACCAGGCUCAAUUCCUUUGAACACCAGUUAGGAAAUGAAGGUGGCAGUGUCCAUCCAGCUAGAUUCCAUAGUUUGAGAAGUUGAGAGUGCCCAACGUCUGACUAGUAAAUGAUUAUAUAGUUGUUUUAAAAUGGAAAUAUACAUUUUCUUUAGAUUUAGGUGUAUUACAUUUUCAAACUACUACUAAGUUGUUAGGACAUAAAUACUAUUUGACCCAGUCACUUA
This 1205-nucleotide long non-coding RNA is filed under the name Marmota monax (woodchuck). The record is from RNAcentral. Lineage: Eukaryota; Metazoa; Chordata; Mammalia; Rodentia; Sciuridae.